Molecule: ribosomal RNA, 464 nt
Filed under: Vreelandella stevensii
Lineage: Bacteria; Pseudomonadati; Pseudomonadota; Gammaproteobacteria; Oceanospirillales; Halomonadaceae
Description: partial 16S ribosomal RNA
Rfam family: Bacterial small subunit ribosomal RNA
Source: RNAcentral
CCUACGGGUGGCUGCAGUGGGGAAUAUUGGACAAUGGGCGAAAGCCUGAUCCAGCCAUGCCGCGUGUGUGAAGAAGGCCUUCGGGUUGUAAAGCACUUUCAGUGGGGAAGAAAGCCUUGGGGCUAAUACCCUCGAGGAAGGACAUCACCCACAGAAGAAGCACCGGCUAACUCCGUGCCAGCAGCCGCGGUAAUACGGAGGGUGCGAGCGUUAAUCGGAAUUACUGGGCGUAAAGCGCGCGUAGGCGGUCUGAUAAGCCGGUUGUGAAAGCCCCGGGCUCAACCUGGGAACGGCAUCCGGAACUGUCAGGCUAGAGUGCAGGAGAGGAAGGUAGAAUUCCCGGUGUAGCGGUGAAAUGCGUAGAGAUCGGGAGGAAUACCAGUGGCGAAGGCGGCCUUCUGGACUGACACUGACGCUGAGGUGCGAAAGCGUGGGUAGCAAACAGGAUUAGAUCCCGGGUAGUC